This 325-nucleotide ribosomal RNA is filed under the name uncultured bacterium. RNAcentral describes it as "bacterial SSU rRNA". It matches the Rfam family "Bacterial small subunit ribosomal RNA", at positions 28 to 352 of the family's 1533-position model. The record is from RNAcentral.
GACGAACGCUGGCGGCGUGCUUAACACAUGCAAGUCGAGCGGUAAGGCCCUUUCGGGGGUACACGAGCGGCGAACGGGUGAGUAACACGUGGGUGACCUGCCCUCAGCUCUGGGAUAAGGCCUGGGAAACCGGGUCUAAAUACCGGAUAUGACUCCAUGACGCAUGUUGUGGGGUGGAAAGCCUUGUGCGGCUGAGGAUGGGCCCGCGGCCUAUCAGCUUGUUGGUGGGGUGAUGGCCUACCAAGGCGACGACGGGUAGCCGGCCUGAGAGGGCGACCGGCCACACUGGGACUGAGACACGGCCCAGACUCCUACGGGAGGCAGC